This 528-nucleotide long non-coding RNA is filed under the name Trifolium pratense (red clover). Its description in RNAcentral is "long non-coding RNA (TPRA_LNC011069)". Lineage: Eukaryota; Viridiplantae; Streptophyta; Magnoliopsida; Fabales; Fabaceae. The record is from RNAcentral.
AGUGUCGGUGUGUGUCGGUGUCCGACACCAACGCGUGUCCGACACCGGGACACACCUAAUCCGAGGAGUGUCUUUGCUUCAGAUCAUUACACUCAUUUUCAUUGCUAUGCAGCAUCUGUUAUCUUCAUGCAACCCUAUCUGAUAUGGAUUUUUGGGAUACCUCUAUUUUUCGCAAUCUACUAUUGAUAACACAAAUUCAGAAUGAGUUUCUCUAUAUUCAGUAAUGGAAUGCUGAGGUAAUGUUAAACUUCUUACCCUUCUAUUUCUACAGUGCAAAAUUGAACAAAAACCAAACGGGGUUGGUUAAUUAUGAAUACAAUUGAAUUCAAAAAGUUCAAAUUGCAAACAAGUUGAUAUAUUUAUCCUAUAAAUAACCUACAGCAGUUGACACAAACGCAAUAAUGGAAGAGGCAUAAAGAAUUGAAUUUGAAUGAAAAUAAAAGACAAAAAGUGUGAAAAAAAGCACCUUGAGGAACUAAACACCAACCCAACUCUUUCUAUCCAAACAAAUCGAGCAGAAGCAACCCA